GUGGUGGCACAGAAUCGGAGGCCCCGACUGUUUACCUAAAACACAGCUUUCUGCGACGAAUAAUAUCUUUGUAUAGAAAGCGAAUUUUGCCCAAUGCCAUUAAUAUAAGUAAUUGAAGUUCUGGUCAAUGGCGGUCUUAUCUAUGAGGAUCCUAAGGUAGCAAAAUUAAUUGUCCAUUAAAUGUGGUCCUGACUGAAUAAAGUAACGAUGGUCUCGCUGUCUCUACAAGUAUCUCAGUGAAAUUGAAUUAGCCGUGCAGAUGC
This 263-nucleotide ribosomal RNA is filed under the name mycorrhizal symbiont of Neuwiedia veratrifolia c669. RNAcentral describes it as "partial large subunit ribosomal RNA". It matches the Rfam family "Bacterial large subunit ribosomal RNA", at positions 1773 to 2062 of the family's 2925-position model. The record is from RNAcentral. Lineage: Eukaryota; Fungi; Basidiomycota; Agaricomycetes; Cantharellales; Tulasnellaceae.